Molecule: long non-coding RNA, 542 nt
Organism: Homo sapiens (human)
Lineage: Eukaryota; Metazoa; Chordata; Mammalia; Primates; Hominidae
Gene: STX18-IT1
Product: STX18 intronic transcript 1
Source: Ensembl
AGCUCUGACUUAGUAAUUGCUAUUGAUGCAUUUUUCAAUUAAGAGUGAAAGGAGUUAGACUCGGAAUUUAGUCAGUGGGCUCCAAAUUAAACUUGGUCCAGUGGAACUACCUGAAAGAAAAAUACAGGAGUCAGCAAGAAAAAGCCAAGUGGAGAACCUGACUUUAGAGUUAUGGCCCAAUACGAGUGGGGCAUGGGCCAGAAUAUACCCUCUCUGCUGGCUGGUCGAUCUGAAAAGAGGAGAGGACAGGGCAGCAUGCUCUCCCUUCUCAAAAUCUGAACACAGCUCUCUCCUCUUCCCUCUAAGAAGAGUGAGUAAAGGUUGGGAGAUAGGCCAGGAAGACUGGUCCAGCUGAAGUCCCUCCACAUGAUGCAUGGCAGUGGGGAAUAAGGAAUCCCUUCACAGUGGGGCAGGAGGAGGUAAUGUCUAAUUCGUACGAUCGUUAUGGAGGGGUGGAAACCACAGAGCACACGUCAAGCAGUUUAUGCACUACCUGGCACACACGUGGCGGGUGCUCUACCAUCAGUCUGAUGGAAGACUGU